This 112-nucleotide ribosomal RNA is filed under the name Polyporus tricholoma. RNAcentral describes it as "partial 28S ribosomal RNA". It matches the Rfam family "Eukaryotic large subunit ribosomal RNA", at positions 1 to 111 of the family's 3401-position model. Lineage: Eukaryota; Fungi; Basidiomycota; Agaricomycetes; Polyporales; Polyporaceae. The record is from RNAcentral.
CUGACCUCAAAUCAGGUAGGACUACCCGCUGAACUUAAGCAUAUCAAUAAGCGGAGGAAAAGAAACUAACAAGGAUUCCCCUAGUAACUGCGAGUGAAGCGGGAUAAGCUCA